UGCAGCAAAAAAGGAAACAAUUUGCAAAGGUGGAAGUAGAAGUUAUCUGAGCGGGUCCGAGUGCCGCUCAUUGGUUCGGUAAAGAGCAGUUCCUGUAUAACCUUCAGGUCAGUGUCACGUCCUGUUUUCCAGUAUCAGCAUCUCAGAAUCACCAUAGGACAGUGUAACCAGCCAACUUUCAACACACGUCACACCUCCGUGUCCAGAAAUUAUUUCAUUGUUGCCGACGCUGGCGAAAUGUAAUCUUGUUUAGCAGAAGUUGGACAUUUUAUUUGCAAGUUGAAACAUUGAAAAGAGAAGAUUAUUUUAUUUUCACGUUGCCAACACAAGCAUCGAAAAGAAGUGGGCCCACACUAUAAAGUUGUUUGAUUCUUCGUUGUGAAGAUGUUUGCAGUGUUCGCAGCGCUCCAUUUUCUUACACUCUGUGGCUCCGAAAUCUCAGCCCAACCCAGUACAACCAUUGAUGCCGUCGUUGGACAAGAUGUUCAUUUCCCUGUGGAGAUUCAGUGUGAAGAUCAACUUGUAGUAACAUUCCUGUUACUAUCCUCGGUUAAUGCAACCCUUGCCAGGUGGGGAAAGAACAUGUCUGACAGACUGCACCCGGUGUACAAGGACAGACUGUAUUGGAGCGCGAAUGGUUCCCCGGUGCUGUCCAACGUGCAGGUUAAUGACAGUAACCGAUACGCGACCCAAAUCGACUGCUACGAAUCCUCAAUGGGCACAACUAGACAGAUCUACGACUUGCGCGUAUUCGGCAGGUAACUGAUAGGGUGGGAGAGGUGUGGUUUACUGGUAAACCAGGGUUCGUGCCCACUGACAUCCUCAACUAACUGCACCUGCCCUCCCUCGGUCUCAACACGAACCGUUGACUGUUUAUUCCCCUCCAUAGAUUAUGCCUGACUUGCUGAGCGCAUUCAGCAUUUACUUUUCCUAAUUGCCUCUUACCUCCUUUAAUUCCUUCACCCCAACAAUACAGAAUUCCCAAAUCAGUGUCUUCCCAGCUUGCUCUAAUCCCCUCCAUCACCCUCCAUAACAUUCUUUGUCUCCAUCUGAGCACACUCUCUAUGAAUUUUCUAUCUCCAACUUUAAAUCACUACCCCACUCUCCAGUGCUCUCCUCCCUCAAGACCUAACCCCUCAACUUACCUUUAGCUCUCCAUCACCAGCUCACUCCCCUGGUCAUGUGGCAGUCACAGCCUCCAGUGCUCCAGAGCGCUGGCCAUCCUCAACUCCAGCUAAUUUGAACCCAACUCCUACUCUAUUUUUCACAUCCUGGACUUCAUUCUUUAUUUUUCUCUGAAGAAACUCAAGUCCCUUUCUCUGCAUGAUCCAGCAUUUAUCUCAUUUAUCAAUCUGCUAAGAGUUACAAAUAUUAGAAUGUUGAAUCUGUCCAUUCUGACAUGAUAGUAAAAAUGUCGUUGUCUAUGGCAUCCAGUGCUAAUUAGAUCAAUCAGCCAUUCCACACAAAGACCAUUCAUAAAGAAAAAAAAGGAAUGUAAAAACUUAGGAAAUUCAGGAAAGUAAACAGUUUGCCCUCUGAAGCUCACUGUUGCUCCUUUACCUUGUCCAUGUCCUUUUCUAUUCAAAAAUACAUCUGUGCACUGAAUGAAUGAGACUCCAUAUUUAUAAAAUUAAUUCGGUCAGGACUUCAGCCCAACAUUGAACACUCAUCUCCACUGACAUGACUAAGCUUUGUAAUAAUCAUCAUUUUUUGGGAACAAGAGUACAGGGAAACACAGUUGUAAUUUCUGUUAAUCACAAAUUCUUUGUUAGUUGCAUCUCUGGAGCUCCCCACAGCUCAGCCAAAGAAGGAUCACCACAGCAGUGAAAUGGAUAUGUUACGGAGGGAACAUAACAUUUAUCAGUUAGAAACUUGGAUGGAGCAAUAGCAGAUGGAGUUUAAUUCUGAUGUGUGCAGUGAUGAAUUUUGAAAGAACUGAAAGGAUAGGAUAUAUGCAGUAAAUUCUAGAACCUCAGGGUGUUUUGAUGAACUAAGGGACUUUGGGGUAGAAGUGCGCAGAUCCUUGAAAGUGGCAGUACAGGUGAAAAGAGUGGUGAAGAAGCCAACACGAGGAAAUCUGCAGAUGCUGGAAAUUCAAACAACACACACAAAAUGCUGGAGGAACACAGCAGGCCAGGCAGCAUCUAUAAGGGCCGAGACCCUUCAUCAGGAAUGAAACGUCGACAGUGCUUCUCCUUAUAAAUGCUGCGUGGCCUGCUGUGUUCCACCAGCAUUUUGUGGGUGAAGAAGCCAUAUGGGUUGCUUGGCAAAGAAUAUUGUUCUACUGUCUCAGUAGUUAUGGAAAAUGUCGCUAGGCACAGCUCAAACAUCUAUAAAUUUGCCAAUUACACCACUGUUGUUGGCAGAAUCUCAGACGCUGAUGAGGAACCGUACAGGCAUUGUUCCCUCUAAACGGCCUGGGUGCACGGCCGCACAGUAACUGAAAUGCUUCCGCACCCAUAGCCCUUGUUGUGUAACAGCUGGAAUCUACUUAUACAUACUGUUAGUAUAAUUUUGAAUUUAUUCUGAUUUAAUUUUGAAAUCUAUGGCGAUAUAAUUGUGAAAUACUCGGUGAUUAAUGCGUUAAGAAAUAUAACACCGUCUAGUCAAGAGUUUAAUAUUGCAUUGUGCCUGUCAGUUGUUUAGAUUGCCUGACAUUGUUUACUUGUGUUGAGUUGUGAUUUGUGUGAAAAAUUCUAUACUGUGACUUUUUAGUAAGUAAUCUUUCAAAAAAUCAUAAUCUAUUCAGAAUUUUUAAAUUAAAAAUUGUUAGAACAAGUUAAAAAAAUCAUUCUAAAAUCGUUUGCAUGUGUGUGGUUAUUUCAUUGUAAUUUAAUUUUUUCCAACUUUUUUCAAUUUUUUCAAAAAA
Hypanus sabinus (Atlantic stingray) is the source of this 2869-nucleotide long non-coding RNA. RefSeq lists it as uncharacterized. Lineage: Eukaryota; Metazoa; Chordata; Chondrichthyes; Myliobatiformes; Dasyatidae. The transcript has 3 exons. The record is from RefSeq and is a predicted model, not a curated record.